UAAAGAUUAAAAUAUAUUAGUGUUUACAAAACGAGGGCUUUACAAUCACAUAACGGCAACAAAUAAACACACAAAGUUCUAAACUAAUGGAAUCAGUGCUUGACUGUAAACACACCUCCCAGUCUGUCUACUGGUGCACCAGUUUCCCAUUGAGCUUGAAGGCCUGGGAAACUUCAACACAGGUCACAUCAAUGUCACAUUACACUCACAACAGUGAUGCACAACCUGCACAACACUUUUACACUAAUACAGUACAGUAAUACAGGGGGAUUUCUCAAUUUAGACCUUUUCAACUUCCACUUUAUUAGAAAUAUUCACUGGCCACUUUAUUAGAAACACCUACAACAGUCCAUCUUGUGCUUCCAUUCUCUGGCCACUUCAGAAGAAACACCUAUCCCAAUCCACAUUGUGCAUCCACUCACCGGUCACUUUAUUAGAAACACCCUCCACCUUGUGCUUCCACUCAUUGGCCACUUUAUUAGAAACACCUAUCAUCUUCCAUCUUGUGCUUCCACUCACUGGCCACUUUACUAGAAACACCUAUCACCUACCAUCUUGAGCUUGCACUCACUGGCCACUUUGUUAGAAACACCAUCCACCCUCCACCUUGUGCUUGAACUCACUGGCCACUUUAUUAGAAACACCUACCACCCUCCACCUUGUGCUUCCACUCACUGGCCACUUUAUUAGAAACACCUACCAUCUUUCACCUUGUGCUUCCCACUCACUGGCCACUUUAUUAGAAACACCUACCACCCUCCACCUUGUGCUUCCACUCACUGGCCACUUUAUUAGAAACACCUACCAUCUUUCACCUUGUGCUUCCCACUCACUGGCCACUUUAUUAGAAACACCAUCCACCCUCCACCUUGUGCUUGAACUCACUGGCCACUUUAGAAGAAACACUUAUCACCUUCCAUCUUUUGCUUCCACUCACUGGCCACUUUAUUAGAAACACCCAUCACCUUCCAACUUGUGCUUCUACUCACUGGCCACUUUAUUAGAAACACCUACCACCUUACAUCUUGUGCUUGCACUCACUGGCCACUUUAUUAGAAACAACUAUUCAUCACUGGUUGGUUGCUGACCACAUUAUUGUUGUCGACCAAAGAUGGUGGAGCUACAAGAGUAGUGUUCUAAUAAAUACAUCCUCUCUUUCUCCA
This 1163-nucleotide long non-coding RNA is filed under the name Astyanax mexicanus (Mexican tetra). RNAcentral describes it as "lncRNA (ENSAMXG00005014425.1)". Lineage: Eukaryota; Metazoa; Chordata; Actinopteri; Characiformes; Acestrorhamphidae. The record is from RNAcentral.